Molecule: unclassified non-coding RNA, 376 nt
Filed under: soil metagenome
Description: partial contains 5.8S ribosomal RNA, internal transcribed spacer 2, and large subunit ribosomal RNA
Rfam family: 5.8S ribosomal RNA (bases 1-120)
Source: RNAcentral
GAUGAAGAACGUAGCGAAAUGCGAUAAGUAAUGUGAAUUGCAGAAUUCAGUGAAUCAUCGAAUCUUUGAACGCAUCUUGCGCUCCUUGGUAUUCUGAGGAGCAUGCCUGUUUGAGUGUCAUUAAAUUCUCAACUACACUGACUUUGAAUUGGUGUGGCUUGGAUUUGGGGGGAAAAUUGUUGUGGGCUUUUUGUAUAGUCUGCUCCCCUGAUAUUGAUUAGCGGUACCUUUGUGGAACUGUCUACAGGUGUGAUAAUUAUCUACAUCUUAGACAUCUGCUGGAAUGCUGCUUUCUAAACCUUACUUGUAUUGACAAUCUUGACCUCAAAUCAGGUAGGACUACCCGCUGAACUUAAGCAUAUCAAUAAGCGGAGGA